RNAcentral lists this ribosomal RNA (497 nucleotides) under uncultured bacterium. Its description in RNAcentral is "partial 16S ribosomal RNA". It matches the Rfam family "Bacterial small subunit ribosomal RNA", at positions 28 to 507 of the family's 1533-position model. The record is from RNAcentral.
GACGAACGCUGGCGGCGUGCCUAAUACAUGCAAGUAGAACGCUGAAGCUUGGUGCUUGCACCGAGCGGAUGAGUUGCGAACGGGUGAGUAACGCGUAGGUAACCUGCCUGGUAGCGGGGGAUAACUAUUGGAAACGAUAGCUAAUACCGCAUAAGAGUAGAUGUUGCAUGACAUUUGCUUAAAAGGUGCAAUUGCAUCACUACCAGAUGGACCUGCGUUGUAUUAGCUAGUUGGUGAGGUAACGGCUCACCAAGGCAACGAUACAUAGCCGACCUGAGAGGGUGAUCGGCCACACUGGGACGGAGACACGGCCCAGACUCCUACGGGAGGCAGCAGUAGGGAAUCUUCGGCAAUGGACGGAAGUCUGACCGAGCAACGCCGCGUGAGGGAAGAAGGUUUUCGGAUCGUAAAGCUCUGUUGUAAGAGAAGAACGAGUGUGAGAGUGGAAAGUUCACACUGUGACGGUAUCUUACCAGAAAGGGACGGCUAACUACGUG